CUUACUCAUGUCCAGUCAUUAUGAUUGGAGACGGGGAGGAGGGAGGGCGAGGUGCAAGUGGAGGUGGCGGGUGGUGCUUGGCUUCACGAAGUGGGUUGGGUGGGGAGGAAGGAAGUGAUGGAAUGAGUCAGCGUGGAUUGCCAUGUUGCCAUCAAAGAUACAAAAGGCUGGUUAGGCACACCUCGCUGAUAUUACCAGUGUGUGCAUGGUCAUCCGUCACGGCUCCAUACAAUGACUGGUUACCCCUGUUAAGUGUCGUACAAAGCACCACUUAAAAUGGUUCAGACGCUGCCUCAUCGCUGCGUCAAGAUGGGGGAGGGCGGGGCGGUAUCACAACAUCCUUGUUUGCUUCGCUUGUUUCUUCCUAAAGCUUUCCUCACUAAUUAGGAUGAAAGUAAAUAUAAGACAUAAUAAGAAAUGUCUCGUGGUAGUGGGAAAUUAGCACACCACCAUAAAGUGGAAAAGAUGAUGUGUUGAGUGCGCGAAGCACGUGAAGCAGGUGUGAAACAGGGAUGAACCAGUGAGAUGUGUCCUUCCUUAUUACCUUUACUGUCUUAUUCUUUUCAUGCUCUUGCUUAUGAGUCCAUUGCUGAAUCCUGACCUGGUGAUUCACUAAACUAGAUGGAAACAGAAUAAUUUUCAAUGAGGUAAGACAAUAUAACAGUGACCUAACGAUAAAUGUCUAGAAAAUCUAGUAACACUGGUUAGAGAAAGCUCCUUCAAGUUAUGAGCAUCCAGGGCUCAGUCACCACUUCUGUUCAGUGAGGGAAGCGUCGAGGCCGUCCUCAGAAUCACUUACUUAGGCUGUACAUCUCCUUGCAAAAUUCAGAUCCUAAGAUGCCCAGCUGCUCCUCCACAAGGAUGGCCACACCAGAAUUUCUCGACACAAUUUGAACAUGGAUAGGCACAUCAGUGGAGGCCAUGAGGAAGAUAUUAUACAAUGAUGUCAAUCUUCACAUCACCACACAGAUGUCUGUUUCAUCCGAUUCCUGCCUCUAUGCACCCUCAGGUAGUCUGUUUCAUCUGGUUCCUGCAAUGUUUCAUCUGGUUCCUGCCAUCUAUGUACAGUAAGGUAGUGAGUUUAAUCCAGUUCCUGGCAGCUACUUAUACUUUUCAUCCUUUUUGAUCAGACCUGAGAGCUUAUGAGAGAGAGAGAGAGAGAGAGAGAGA
This is a long non-coding RNA of Scylla paramamosain (green mud crab), 1170 nucleotides long. RefSeq lists it as uncharacterized. The transcript has 3 exons. Lineage: Eukaryota; Metazoa; Arthropoda; Malacostraca; Decapoda; Portunidae. The record is from RefSeq and is a predicted model, not a curated record.